GAAAUUUAAAGCCUGCAAGACUGCAAGUUCUCUCUCUCUCUGUCUCUUGGAUAAUUGAGUUCUAGUCAGAUUCACGGCAAGUAUCAACAAAUAUAAACUCCUUGUCGAGGCAUUAAUUGAAUUCGCCAAUUUUUUUUUUUUUUUAAUAAACUGCUCAGACUAGAACUUAGAUCUUAGAAGUUAUAUUCUUGGAAAUAAUUUUAUAACCAAUGAGCUAUAUCUCAUUGAUAAAAAUAAAAAUUGCAAAAAUUAACUUAAGAGCUUUUGGGAUAGUUAUUAAAUCAAUCCGAACACUAAACAGAUAAAAG
This 308-nucleotide long non-coding RNA is filed under the name Manihot esculenta (cassava). RNAcentral describes it as "long non-coding RNA (MESC_LNC000847)". Lineage: Eukaryota; Viridiplantae; Streptophyta; Magnoliopsida; Malpighiales; Euphorbiaceae. The record is from RNAcentral.